CUCAGUUUAGCAGUAUUAUAGCUAUAAUGUAACAUGCCAACACUGGCGAGCAGUACAUUAUUGUCUCUCUGUGGCCUCUAGCUCAUCGAGGCGAGUAAUCAGCUGAUUUGGCUGUAAAUGUAAUGUAUACAUAUGCGCGUAUCGCGCAUAUCUCGGGCCCGCAGUAAGUGGCACUUACGCUGUUGCGGAUUCCUUGCCAUUGUAAGCUGCGACGUAGUAGCUUGACAACUCACAGGUGAGGAUAUCAUAGAUACGAUUUGUGGUUUGAAUUAGUCAGAUAUAGUCAUAUAGAGAAGUUUGAAAGUGUGUAUAUUCAUUAUUGAAUUGUACAAUAAUAUUACUAAAGGUUUGGAGCACAACCUGGUGUAUAUACUGUAUACAAACUUACAAGGAUCUGUAGUGCUGUACCAGUGGCAACGAGGCUAACAUGCAUCGGCAUGUUUUAGACCCUGGAUUUUGUUACCACGGUCCACAAUUGGCAUGUCUAGGCCGAGUUUAGGCGCUAAUAACAAACCUUAUGAAGCCGGGAAACACGGUAUUUUUUACUAAGUAGAAUCACCGUGCAAUAUUGCAAUGUACAGACAUUUUCUUGACUCUCCCGGUGAGUGCAAUUCAGGCGAGGGAGAUGUCCCUGUAUUAUUGCCAUGUUGGCGCUUUUGGCAUGAAAUGAUAGUGUGUAUCAUCUGCAUAACAUUUGCUAUUUACCUCGAUUUUAAGGUUUACAUAUAUAGUCAUUUAACUUGCGAUGGUAACAUAAAUGUUUUCCCCAUUCAACAGCUCAGUGCGCAGCUUGUAUAAUAUCGACAUUCUGUCGAUUCGCCGUUCUAAUUUUAUAUGUUUCCCAGUUCAACCGUUUAAUUUUAUGACCGGGUGCGGCAUUUUAGUAAUGCAUCAUGUGUAUUUUUAGUAUUAGUAGCUGCUGUAUUUCAAGCUGUACAUUGUCCGCCGGGUCGGCGUUAUAAAUACCGUUUUUGUGACUAAGUUAGUCUACGGCUUGAGUCUUCCGCAAGGUUGAUCAUUGGCAUUGCCAAAUUGUGCAUUAUCCGCCGAGCCGGCGUUUUGACAAUGCAAUAUGCCGUUUUGGCGACUAAGUUAGUCUACGGCUUGAUUCUUCCGCAAGGUUGACCAUUGCCCAUUGGAUUGCCAUUGCCAAAUUGUGCAUUAUCCGCCGAGUCGGCGUUUUGAUAAAGCAAUAUGCCGUUUUGGCGACUAAGUUAGUCUACGGCUUGAUCUCAUAUUGUACUCAUACGAAGAGACAAUCUAGCAAUUUUCGCAACGUUGGCCAUUGCAGAGUUUCAUGUAUUAAGCUCCGUCGUCGCCUGCCACUAAUCCACUGUCAUUGUCAUGUUGACGUGUUUUUAAUAUAAACUGCCGGGCGGCAAGAUGUCGAUAUUCAGGUCUGACUGGACGGUAUUUUUUCAUCCUCUUGUACCAAAUGUUGCCUCUGCUGUCCUUGGCUUUACAUACACGCCGAGUCGACGUGUUUAUAAUACAAUUGCCGGUUCGGCAAGAUCUCGUGUUCAGGUCUGAUUUCGGUGUUUUUCGACCUUUAUUAAUCCUUUAUAUAUUUUGCCGCUUCGGCGAGAUCUUUCAGUGUGACAGAUAGCCCUUGGUCCAGGCAUUGUUGAAGAAGAUAGGGUUGAUUAUUUCCCUGUCAUUGAGGCUGUGCGAAGUCCCGCCAUAUUCCUGUACUUGACGGUUGUGUAUAUUAUUAAACGCCGUGCACAAGGUC
Non-coding RNA from Paramuricea clavata, 1732 nucleotides. The record is from the annotation of a GenBank genome assembly. NCBI's taxonomy places the organism in Eukaryota, Metazoa, Cnidaria, Anthozoa, Malacalcyonacea, Plexauridae.